This 21-nucleotide microRNA is filed under the name Homo sapiens (human). Its description in RNAcentral is "hsa-miR-3611". Lineage: Eukaryota; Metazoa; Chordata; Mammalia; Primates; Hominidae. The record is from miRBase by way of RNAcentral.
UUGUGAAGAAAGAAAUUCUUA